AGGUGUUUAUUUAUCAACAAGAAUGACAAGCCAGUCAGUUUUGGGCAAGGCGACGAUAAAGAGAUGUGUACUGUGUCAAUGUUUUUUGGAUACGAAUUUAAGUCUGAAGACGAUUUUAAACGAUCAGGAGCGUGUAUGACGCAGCAACCAGAAUUCUCAUUUUGCGAACACAAAGAAACAUCAGGAAUUUGUGGACACUAUGCAAAAUAAACAUUAAAAACUUAA
Molecule: long non-coding RNA, 225 nt
Organism: Mytilus californianus (California mussel)
Lineage: Eukaryota; Metazoa; Mollusca; Bivalvia; Mytilida; Mytilidae
Exons: 2
Source: RefSeq, a predicted model, not a curated record